AUAUAUGAUAAUAUACUUUUAAUACUAUUACGCUAGAGUUUAUUAGGAGUUAACGGAACCUCUAUAAUCAGAGUUGAAAUGCGUUAAAGAUAGAGAGAACUCCAAUGGCGAAAGCAGUUAACUAUAGUAGACUGACACUGAGGCACGAAGGCAUGGGAAUCGAAGAGGAUUAGGUACCCUCGUAGUCUAUGCUGUCAACGAUGAAUGUUAAAGGGUAGUGUUAACUAUUCUUACAGCUAACGCGUUAAACAUUCCGCCUGGGAACUACGAUCGCAAGAUUAAAACCUAAAGAAAUUGACGGAGAUCUGCUACAAGCAGUGGAGCAUGUGAUUUAAUUCGAUACACCGCGAGAAAUCUUACCAAUCCUUGUCAUAUUAGAUAUAGAUAGUAGAUAUUGUAGUAAUAUACAAUAAAUGAUUUCUAUCUCUCAUAAGGCAUAAAAUAGGACGAUAAUUUCAUAGCAUUGUCUAUAUAUAUAAUAUCUAAUACAGGUGUUGCAUGGCUGUCGUAAGUUCGUGUUGUGAGGCGUUAGGUUAAUUCCCAUGAACGAACGAGACCCUCAUUUAUAUUUAAGUUACGCACUAACAAAAAAACUAUAAAAUUAGGGGAUGACGUCAAGUCAUUAUGGCCUUAAUGGGUUGGGGCUAUCCAA
This 652-nucleotide ribosomal RNA is filed under the name Naegleria fowleri. RNAcentral describes it as "partial small subunit ribosomal RNA". It matches the Rfam family "Bacterial small subunit ribosomal RNA", at positions 609 to 1221 of the family's 1533-position model. The record is from RNAcentral. Lineage: Eukaryota; Heterolobosea; Eutetramitea; Acrasida; Naegleriidae.